RNAcentral lists this ribosomal RNA (303 nucleotides) under uncultured bacterium. Its description in RNAcentral is "partial 16S ribosomal RNA". It matches the Rfam family "Bacterial small subunit ribosomal RNA", at positions 507 to 807 of the family's 1533-position model. The record is from RNAcentral.
AGCAGCAGCCACGGUAAUACAGAGGGUGCGAGCGUUAAUCGGAUUUACUGGGCGUAAAGCGUGCGUAGGCGGCUUCUUAAGUCGGAUGUGAAAUCCCUGAGCUUAACUUAGGAAUUGCAUUCGAUACUGGGAAGCUAGAGUAUGGGAGAGGAUGGUAGAAUUCCAGGUGUAGCGGUGAAAUGCGUAGAGAUCUGGAGGAAUACCGGUGGCGAAGGCGGCCCCCUGGACAAAGACUGACGCUCAGGUGCGAAAGCGUGGGGAGCAAACAGGAUUAGAUACCCGUGUAGUCCCUGUCUCUUAUAC